Molecule: small nuclear RNA, 102 nt
Organism: Acomys russatus (golden spiny mouse)
Lineage: Eukaryota; Metazoa; Chordata; Mammalia; Rodentia; Muridae
Source: RefSeq, a predicted model, not a curated record
GUCUUCUGCUGUGUCCUCUGCUCAGUUAUGAUGACGCAGACGAGGUUAGCAUGGCUCCUGCAUGAGGAUGACAUGUGAAUUGGUGAAGGGUUCAGUAUUUUU